Melitaea cinxia (Glanville fritillary) is the source of this 112-nucleotide long non-coding RNA. RefSeq lists it as uncharacterized. Lineage: Eukaryota; Metazoa; Arthropoda; Insecta; Lepidoptera; Nymphalidae. The record is from RefSeq and is a predicted model, not a curated record. The transcript has 3 exons.
GCGUGGUGACUAUGGGCAAAAUACAUGAGUUCACUCCAUUUUUGGCGCGAACUUGUGAAGGCCUAUGUCCGAAGUCGACUGUAUUAGGCUAAAAUAUUUAUAUUUAUUUUGA